GUAUCAUGUGGCCAACUAUGUCUUGCAGGGUCGUUCAUCGACCUAGGGAAGGUGAACAGCCCGGGAAUGGCAAUGGCAUCCGCCAUGUUGAACUUACGAAGAUCGUUUGGAGUGUGAGGCUGUCCAGUGGCAGAGCCUUUAAACACGUCCAUAGUUCUUUGAGAGAAUACACACAACACCGUAUCCCCGACAUUCAAUGGGAAGCUGAUAAGGGUGUUAGCUGUUCCCGGCAUAAUGACAGGGACAGAUAGAAUCUCUGGUUGCUCUUCUGAUGUGCCGUCUUUGUACAGGUCAUUGACCACUGGUCUAACAUCGACAGAAAGGCGUCUAAAAUCGUCCAGAACGCGCAAUACCACACAAGGUAUGGCAGUAUACUGUUUCGAGCCUUCCGUGGACGAGUGCAGGUUCAGAAGCUCUUGUAGGCCUGUUCUCCUCAUUGGUCAAUAUCCUCUUGGUUAAGAUCGGAACACCAACAUUCAGUGUACCAUUCGUUGUCUCUGU
RNAcentral lists this small RNA (501 nucleotides) under Pseudomonas phage PAK_P4. RNAcentral's name for it is "putative antisense RNA". The record is from RNAcentral. Lineage: Duplodnaviria; Heunggongvirae; Uroviricota; Caudoviricetes; Vandenendeviridae.